This 254-nucleotide ribosomal RNA is filed under the name uncultured bacterium. Its description in RNAcentral is "partial 16S ribosomal RNA". It matches the Rfam family "Bacterial small subunit ribosomal RNA", at positions 524 to 776 of the family's 1533-position model. The record is from RNAcentral.
UACGGAGGGUGCAAGCGUUAUCCGGAAUCACUGGGUUUAAAGGGUGCGUAGGCGGUCUGAUAAGUCAGUCGUGAAAUCGCUGGGCUUAACCCAUGCAACUGCGAUUGAUACUGUGAGACUUGAAUGGGGUUGAGGCUGGCGGAAUGUGGCAUGUAGCGGUGAAAUGCUUAGAUAUGCCAUAGAACACCAAUUGCGAAGGCAGCCAGCUGGGCCUUGAUUGACGCUGAGGCACGAAAGCGUGGGGAGCAAACAGG